CCAAGAUCACAGGGCCAAGGAAUAUUGGUCGUGAAGUUUUGCCAAUUGUUGUUGCGAUUGAAGCUUCCAAGAUGGAAUCCAUGGACGAGAGCACCAUAGCCCAUCCUGGAAUUUCGAAAUUUGACAUGCCUGCCACCAAGCGUCAAAGGAUCCUCGUGUGAUAAGACGAAUUGAAGAAUCCGUACUACGAAGGAUUGGUGAUAGCUUUUGCGGUUGUG
RNAcentral lists this long non-coding RNA (218 nucleotides) under Coffea arabica (coffee). Its description in RNAcentral is "long non-coding RNA (CARA_LNC000966)". Lineage: Eukaryota; Viridiplantae; Streptophyta; Magnoliopsida; Gentianales; Rubiaceae. The record is from RNAcentral.